Molecule: signal recognition particle RNA, 262 nt
Filed under: Deltaproteobacteria bacterium
Lineage: Bacteria; Pseudomonadati; Myxococcota; Myxococcia
Description: signal recognition particle sRNA large type
Rfam family: Bacterial large signal recognition particle RNA
About the family: The signal recognition particle (SRP) is a universally conserved ribonucleoprotein involved in the co-translational targeting of proteins to membranes. Archaeal SRP consists of a 7S RNA and homologues of the eukaryotic SRP19 and SRP54 proteins. In most bacteria, the SRP consists of a 4.5S RNA and the Ffh protein (a homologue of the eukaryotic SRP54 protein).
Source: RNAcentral
UCGUGCUAGACGGGGAGCUAGCGGUGCCCUGUAACCCGAAAUCCGCUUAUGCGGGGUUGAAAGUCUUUAUGAGGUCCUUGAUACGAGUUGAUCCUUUGCUGCUUUUGGAGAAGGGAUGGACCUCACGUAACAGGCGCUUACGAACCCCGUCAGAUCCGGGAGGAAGCAGCGGUAAGUGAGAGGGCCUGUGUCGUGACGUGAUCUAUCUUAUUCCUCCGGGCGGCAAUAUCUUCUCGGUUAUGGUUCGAAUAAGGAUGCACGA